UACGGGGGGGGCAAGCGUUGUUCGGAAUUACUGGGCGUAAAGGGCGCGUAGGCGGCCUUCUAAGUCGGACGUGGAAUCCCUCGGCUUAACCGAGGAACUGCGUCCGAUACUGAAAGGCUUGAAUCCGGGAGAGGGAUGUGGAAUUCCAGGUGUAGCGGUGAAAUGCGCAGAUAUCAGGAAGAACACCCGUGGCUAAGGCGGUUCUCUAGUACGGUACUGACGCUGAGACGCGAAAGCGUGGGGAGCGAACAGG
Molecule: ribosomal RNA, 253 nt
Filed under: uncultured bacterium
Lineage: Bacteria
Description: partial 16S ribosomal RNA
Rfam family: Bacterial small subunit ribosomal RNA
Source: RNAcentral